Molecule: non-coding RNA, 1539 nt
Organism: Peromyscus maniculatus bairdii (prairie deer mouse)
Lineage: Eukaryota; Metazoa; Chordata; Mammalia; Rodentia; Cricetidae
Source: RefSeq, a predicted model, not a curated record
AAGGAAAAAGUGAGCAACAUGCAUCACAGGAAAAUGUAAGCAGAAGAUAGAAGUUAAAAAAAAGAAAUCAAAAGAAAACCUUACAAUCAAAACCACCAAACAAAAACACUGAGUUUUUGAGAGGCUUUGCAAUGGACUACACAUAGUUGAAGAAACAAUCAGUAAUCUGGAAAGUAUGUCAAUGGAAAUUUCCCGGAGAAUAACAUGAAAAGAAAAAUCUACAAACUAUACGGACUGUGUAAGAACUGUGGGUGAAGUGGCGAUAUUGUCAGGUGCCUUACAAAAGCAGAGUCAGGCAUACCGACGUUUUUGCUUUGCUUGAUUAGACCUUUCUGUCUUUGAUUCAUUUUGUCUGAUUUGUUUAGCCUUUUGUUUUUCAAGAAUUUGUGUGAUCUUAUUUCAGACAUAUUUAUUGUGGUGCUGCUGAUCCUCUUGUAGAUGAUAAAGAGCCUGCAUAGGGCUUUGCUCAAUAACAGAGUGAACAAUCAAAGGCCAUGGGAAGCCAGAGUCUGUGAACUCAACCCCAGUCCAUUCUUCCACACAACCAUAGCAAAGAGCUGGGAGAAGACGGAGAGAGAGUCUACCAUACAGACUAGAUGGGUGCGAACAACCUUAAGGUGUCUGAAAAUAGAAAAUUGAACACACGCCGGGGUGCGCAAGCGGCAGCCGGAGGACAGCUUGUGCGAGUCGGCUCUCUCUUCCCCCAGGUGAGUGUCUCUCACUGACGGUGCCAUGCUCCUUGGAUAUCAGUCUGCAGCUCCCUCUGCUUUCCAAUGCGUUCUGAAGACCAGUGACUCCCCAGGAAUCCUCCAGGCCUUCAGCACAGGAUCGGGACUGCCGACAUGUGCGAAUUGAACUGCUACCAGGUCCUCGGCCUCUCCAGCUUGCCGUCAGCCAUGGUUGAACUACCAAGCCCUUAUCACCUUCCUACACAGGAAAUGUCUGCUCCUGCUUGCCCUUGGCAUUCCAGUGUGCCACAGAUCUACCAACUCAGAACAAGGGCAUCUAGCAAGUCAACCUGUGUCAUGAGUUACAGGUCCAUGAAAACCCGAGUUUUGUGGGGAAGAGGUGAAAAAGCACCCCAUAAGAAUAAGGGAGGCGUGGGAGACUGCUCUAAGUGCAGCAUGGCACAGAGCAUCCCACAUUUCUAGACCGGGCAGUGGCCUUCUCAACAACUUCACAAUCGCCAUCCCAGGAGAGAAUGCAGUUCACAACAGAAAUACUGAGUUAUCACAACAGAAGACCAGAUGAGGGGCUACACUGAUAACUGGCAAGGAUGAAGCUGGACCUCAGCGUAGACAUCUCCCUCAGGACAAUGUACCUGACCAAAUGACUGACGUUCAAGAAGGAUUCUGUUUGAAGACUUAACACUCAGUCCUUUAACUGUGUGUUGACGCUUGAAUCAAAUGACCACGUCCCGGAAUACGGACCCAGCCAUUCGCCCUCCCUCAGCUUUUCAACUGGCUCCUUUUCAAAAGCAUUUUGAUUUUUGCUUGGAAGAAAUUGUUGCUCCAAGUCCAAUUGUACAUAAUUUCUCCC